CACAAACACUGGAAAACCGUAAACGAAAAAUAAAUCUGCAUGACCUAUCAUUAUACCGGAGGAGUGAUUUCCGGUGGAUAUAUGGUUUAUCUUAAAAGCAAAAUAAAACUGGAUGGAUGGACGAGAGACGGCCUGCCAUGCGAGGCACGGGAAGUCUCC
Long non-coding RNA from Paramacrobiotus metropolitanus, 159 nucleotides. RefSeq lists it as uncharacterized. The record is from RefSeq and is a predicted model, not a curated record. NCBI's taxonomy places the organism in Eukaryota, Metazoa, Tardigrada, Eutardigrada, Parachela, Macrobiotidae. The transcript has 3 exons.